Molecule: ribosomal RNA, 706 nt
Filed under: Wickerhamia fluorescens
Lineage: Eukaryota; Fungi; Ascomycota; Pichiomycetes; Serinales; Debaryomycetaceae
Description: LSU rRNA
Rfam family: Eukaryotic large subunit ribosomal RNA
Source: RNAcentral
GAUUUUAAUGAAUUAGGUUUUACCAAGUCAUUAUAAUUAUAUAAAUAAAAAGUUUGACCUCAAAUCAGGUAGGAUUACCCGCUGAACUUAAGCAUAUCAAUAAGCGGAGGAAAAGAAACCAACAGGGAUUGCCUCAGUAACGGCGAGUGAAGCGGCAAAAGCUCAAAUUUGAAAUCUGGUAGUUUCACUAUCCGAAUUGUAAUUUGAAGAGAUAACUUUGGAAUUGGCUCUUGUCUAUGUUCCUUGGAACAGGACGUCACAGAGGGUGAGAAUCCCGUGCGAUGAGAUGACCAAUUCUAUGUAAAGUAUUCUCGACGAGUCGAGUUGUUUGGGAAUGCAGCUCUAAGUGGGUGGUAAAUUCCAUCUAAAGCUAAAUAUUGGCGAGAGACCGAUAGCGAACAAGUACAGUGAUGGAAAGAUGAAAAGAACUUUGAAAAGAGAGUGAAAAAGUACGUGAAAUUGUUGAAAGGGAAGGGCUUGAGAUCAGACUUGGUAUUGAUUUUAUCUUUACUGGGCCAGCAUCGGUUUGUACGGUGAGAUAAGACUUAUUGGAAAGUAGCUCAUCUUUUUGAGUGUUAUAGCCUUUAGUGAUGUCACCAGUAUAGACCGAGGACUGCGAUUUUAUAUCAAGGAUGUUGGCAUAAUGAUCUUAAGCCGCCCGUCUUGAAACACGGACCAAGGAGUCUAACGUCUAUGCAAGUGUUUG